UUGAAAGGGAAACGAUUGAAGUCAGUCGUGUCCUUGGGGUUCAGCCAGUUCUGCUGGUGUAUUCCCCUUGGACGGGUCAACAUCAGUUUGGACCGGCGGAAAAUGGCGGGAGGAAUGUAGCAGCUCCGGUUGUGUUAUAGCCUCUUGUCGUAUACGUUGGUCUGGACUGAGGAAUGCAGCUCGCCUUUAUGGCCGGGGUUCGCCCACGUUCGUUAAGGAUGUUGACGUAAAUCGAAUU
RNAcentral lists this ribosomal RNA (238 nucleotides) under Sterigmatosporidium polymorphum. Its description in RNAcentral is "partial large subunit ribosomal RNA". The record is from RNAcentral. Lineage: Eukaryota; Fungi; Basidiomycota; Tremellomycetes; Tremellales; Cuniculitremaceae.